GUCUCGGUGGUGUAGUGGGAAGCACAGCAGAACGCAUAUCUGUCAGUGUGGGUACGAGUCCCGCCUGAGGUU
RNAcentral lists this transfer RNA (72 nucleotides) under Dictyocaulus viviparus (bovine lungworm). It matches the Rfam family "tRNA". From Rfam's summary of the family: Transfer RNA (tRNA) molecules are approximately 80 nucleotides in length. Lineage: Eukaryota; Metazoa; Nematoda; Chromadorea; Rhabditida; Metastrongylidae. The record is from Rfam by way of RNAcentral.